This 490-nucleotide ribosomal RNA is filed under the name uncultured Bacillus sp. Its description in RNAcentral is "bacterial SSU rRNA". It matches the Rfam family "Bacterial small subunit ribosomal RNA", at positions 485 to 972 of the family's 1533-position model. The record is from RNAcentral. Lineage: Bacteria; Bacillati; Bacillota; Bacilli; Caryophanales; Bacillaceae.
AGAAAGCCCCGGCUAACUACGUGCCAGCAGCCGCGGUAAUACGUAGGGGGCAAGCGUUGUCCGGAAUUAUUGGGCGUAAAGCGCGCGCAGGCGGUCUCUUAAGUCUGAUGUGAAAGCCCACGGCUCAACCGUGGAGGGCCAUUGGAAACUGGGGGACUUGAGUGUAGGAGAGGAAAGUGGAAUUCCAUGUGUAGCGGUGGAAUGCGUAGAUAUAUGGAAGAACACCAGUGGCGAAGGCGACUCUCUGGUCUGCAACUGACGCUGAGGCUCGAAAGCAUGGGUAGCGAACAGGAUUAGAUACCCUGGUAGUCCAUGCCGUAAACGAUGAGUGCUAAGUGUUGGGAGGUUUCCGCCUCUCAGUGCUGCAGCUAACGCAUUAAGCACUCCGCCUGGGGAGUACGACCGCAAGGUUGAAACUCAAAGGAAUUGACGGGGGCCCGCACAAGCGGUGGAGCAUGUGGUUUAAUUCGAAGCAACGUCGACGCGGCCG